Ictalurus punctatus (channel catfish) is the source of this 3401-nucleotide long non-coding RNA. Lineage: Eukaryota; Metazoa; Chordata; Actinopteri; Siluriformes; Ictaluridae. The record is from Ensembl.
UGGAGUAGUGUGUGUAUGUCAUCGUGCAGCCAGGACAACUACUCAGAUUUAAGACGUUAACCUCUUUCAUACAGACAAUACUUAAACCAGCAUGGUGGGCUUUAUAGGAACACAUUUUCAAAGAAAAUGACUUCUAGCUUGAAGACAGCAAAGACAGAUUAGUGCUCACAGACAGAUCAGUGCUUACCGCCACCUCUGGUGAAAGUUACCGCACGCCACUGUCCAAAGGCAUCCACUCUUCAGGGUGCUCCUCCUACUGCUUCCACAAAAGCUCUACCUAGAAAAAGAAUGACGGUCCUAGAGCAGCUUGAAGUACAAAAGAGUAACACUUCUGGAAAUGCUCAGGUGGAGCACCUCCACAAGCUCCAGGCUCCUGCUCCACCCACUGUCCCCAGAAGAGGACGAAAGUUGCUCCCAGCCCAGCAGGAGAGACUAGAGCGUAUAAAGGCUCAUCAGCCCAACAUCAACACACCAUGCGGGACUCGGUGGGUGACUGAGUAUACGGAAAACUUUGGUUUGCCGCAACCUGUCCGCUUAACUCCGGAGAAAACUGCACACUGGAAGGCCUCGAUCUUUUAUAGCACACGUAACCCUCAUUCUGCAGACAAGUGUCGACACACCGAAUAUCAGGCUCUCUACAGUCCUGAGACAGAUCAGUGCUUACAGACAGAUCAGUGCUCACAGACAGAUCAGUGCUUACCGCCACCUCUGGGGAAAGCUACCGCACGCCACUGUCCAAAGGCAUCCACUCUUCGGGGUGCUCCUCCUACAGCUUCCACAAAAGCUCUACCUGGACGAAAGUUGCUCCCAGCCCAGCAGGAGAGACUAGAGCGUAUAAAGGCUCAUCAGCCCGACAUCAACACACCAUGCGGGACUCGGUGGGUGACUAAGUAUACAGAAAACGUUGGUUCACCGCAAAUUGUCCGCUUGCCUCGUGCUCCGAAGAAAACUGCAUGCCGUUUGGCCUCGACCUUUCGGAGCAUACCCAACCCUCAUUUUGGAGACAAGUAUCGACGCUCCGAAUACCAGGCCAUCUACGGUCCUGAGAUCCGCACUGCACAAUUCAACCUUACUCUGUACCGACAGCUCCACGGAACGGCUUAAAAAAGGUAUUUUAUCAUAUACCUUAUCAGGUAUUUUACCCUUAUACUUUAAGACAGCUUUCUUUAUUUUUUUCUGGUAGCAUCUAUCUAGUGCUCUAUCACUGCACAAAUUACAAAGCACAGCAUAAUAUACACAAACAGUUAGCAUCUCACCAUAUUUACAGUUUGAUCACUGAUUAUUGGAAGUUAAAAACCUUGAGUUAUUUUUUUUAUACCUUAUCCCCAGAUGUAGAAUGUAAAAUAUUUAUAUAUAGCAUAUCAUAGAGAAACUUCUGCUGGAUUAUUCUAUUUCCUCUCCACAGCAGAUCUCUGGGCGGCAAAUGAAAAAAUUUGAAUGCUAUUUUUUUUGAUACACUGGAUAUAUAAAAAAGUCUACACCCCUAUUUUAAAAUUGCAUACACACAAAAAAGACACAAAGAGUAAUGCAUGAAGCUUGUUUGGGACUGCAUGCUGUAUUUGACUCUCCUAGGAAGUGGUCACUGGAUAUUGUGGCUAUGUUAAUAUCGUUAUAUCGCACAAGCCGAGAUACAGUGCUUGUUUAACUAUAGUGCUCAGUGCCAGCUGAGGAGGACAGCUCCCUAAAAGGCUGGGUCUCUCCUAAGGUUUCUCCAUAAAUCAAUCUAAGUAAAUAUAACAGGUCAUUUUUCCUCACCACUGUCACUCUUUUGGCGUUUAUGCGCUGGGCAAAAUAUAUUGGCAAGUAAAAGCAGAUCUAUUAAGUAGAAUGCAGAAUGCCAUACUGCAUUGCUUAACACUAUAUAAAGUUGAGGAACGUGUAGAGGACAUUGGACGUUGGAUGCUAACUAACUUCCUUUUACUUAAUUCUGAUCAGACAGAAGUACUUGUAUUAGGACCACGUGUAGCUAGAAGUAAGCUUUCUGAUUACACAGUAACUCUGGAUGGACUUUCUGUGUCAUCAUGUACAGCAGUGUGUGAUUAUUGACUCCAGUCUGUCAUUUGAUGCUCAUGUAGAUAAUAUUACUAGGAUAGCCUUCUUUCAUCUCAGAAAUAUUUCUAAGAUAAGAAAUAUAUUGUCACUACAUGAUGCAGAAAUAUUAGUUCAUGCUUUCAUCACCUCUAGACUAGAUUACUGUAAUGCCUUACUGUCUGGAUGUUCCAGUAGGAGCAUAAACAAACUCCAGUUAGUCCAGAAUGCAGCUGCUAGAGUCCUUACUAGAACCAGAAGAUACGACCACAUCACCCCGAUCUUAUCCACACUGCAUUGGCUCCCAGUGAAAUCUCGCAUUGAUUAUAAAAUACUAUUAUUAACCUAAAAAGCACUAAACGUUCUCACGCCACAGUAUCUAAGCAGCCUUUUGGUUUUCUAUGAUCCGCCACGCCUACUUAGAUCAAAAGAUGCAGGAUAUUUGACGGUACCUCAAAUAGUGAAGGCUACAGCAGGGGGAAGAUCUUUCUCUUAUAGAGCCCCACAGUUAUGGAACAGUCUUCCAAUUAGUGUUCGGAACUCAGCCACAGUCUCAGUGUUUAAGUCUAGGCUUAAAACCUAUUUGUUUACUCAAGCCUACCCUGACUAGACUUUCUGUUACACUAAGCACAGUCCUAACAAUCUCUUCUCUCUCUCCUUCUGUUGAGCCACACACGAUUUUAUAGAGAUACUAGAGAUCCUGAUCCUUUCUGCUCUCCGGACCUGCCUGAUCCGUUUCGGAUGUCCUACCUCUGGAUGGAGCUCUCAUCUACUCCAAUUCCAGAUUGCUGGGACUACGGCUGCUUCUAAGGCCAACCAGACUUCAUAUAAAUCCAUAAUGAACUUUUACACACUAUCUGUUGUUACCCAGAUGAGGAUGGGUUCCCUUCUGAGUCUGGUUCCUCUCAAGGUUUCUUCCUCUUAACAUCUUAGGGAGUUUUCCUUGCCACCGUCGCCACCGGCUUGCUCAAUUGGGAUAAAUUCGCACUUUUAAUAUCUGUAUACCAUGUUUAUAUUUCUGUAAAGCUGCUUUGAGACAAUGUCUAUUGUAAAAAGCGCUAUACAAAUAAAAUUGAAUUGAAUGGAAUAUAUAGGGAUAUCAUAGCCAUUUAAUCUGUUUAUUGUAAACCUUUAUUUUCCAUGAAGUGAUGUGUUCCUGGUCCACUUUCUAAGAAAUCUGGACAGAGGACACAAGAACAAAAAGAGUUUAAAAUCACAAGGGGGAUAUGUGUUCAUACUUGACACCAUGGGAGGUUUGUCAUUUUCACUGAUAGUUCAGAUGCUCAUGGUCAUCCUUGAUUUGUUUACUUAUAUUCUUUAUUAUUGUGACAGAAAAGGAGGGACUAAAUCUGGAAUGUGAUGUUCAACAAGCA